This 409-nucleotide long non-coding RNA is filed under the name Phoenix dactylifera (date palm). RNAcentral describes it as "long non-coding RNA (PDAC_LNC017800)". Lineage: Eukaryota; Viridiplantae; Streptophyta; Magnoliopsida; Arecales; Arecaceae. The record is from RNAcentral.
CUAGUGGACGAGUGUUGUCUCGUGAGGGUUUGCAGUGAAGUUACCCACAAACUUCAAUCCCAAAAUAAAAUUUGGUUUGUGAAAUGAAAGUCUUAUUUCAAGUACAUAACUGAUAAGAAUUUCAAAAGCACACAAGGUUUUAAUUACUAAGUAGCCCAAUUUCUAGGUUAGUAUGCAAUUUGAGUUGAAGUCAUUAAGUUUUCCAUUAGGAAGUUGUAAGACUUAUUUAUACUUGAGUGCUCAGUGAAGUUUGGACCAUGCACAAGCUAAGGUUUUGGAUCUCCAAAAUAUCGCUAAUAUUAGUAGUUUCCAAGAAUUGGUUGGACAAGACCUAUUUGCUGAUUCAAAAUCAUCUUUUCUGCAGGAUUUCGAGAGCUGUGGAUGUUUACUUUAAUACCUCAUGGGCUUU